RNAcentral lists this ribosomal RNA (999 nucleotides) under Triticum aestivum (bread wheat). RNAcentral describes it as "partial small subunit ribosomal RNA". Lineage: Eukaryota; Viridiplantae; Streptophyta; Magnoliopsida; Poales; Poaceae. The record is from RNAcentral.
AUGAUCCUCAACGACGACGGAACCUAUGAUUCAAUGAGUGAAGGAGAAAUGGAAGCCCUUGAGCAAGUGGCCAUGCACCGUCAAGUGAACAACGAAGAUGAAGAUGAUCAAGUCUUUUGCGAUGAAGAUUCAAGCCCCGCUCUUGUUGUCUCCAAGGUCUUGACUCUUCAACAUCAACAAGACAAAGACCAAAGAUGCCAUAUCUUCCACACAAAGGCCGGCAUCAAUGGAAGGUCUGUCAAGGUCAUCAUCGAUGGAGGGAGUUGCCAUAACUUAGCAAGCGAAGAACUAUGCUCCAAGCUUCAAUUGGUCAAGAUGAAGCACCCGCACCCCUACACGGUUCAAUGGCUAAGUGACACUGGCACUUUGCAAAUCGAGCAUAGAGUACAAGUUUCUUUCAAUAUCGGAGCUUACGAAGACACUUUGGAGUGUGAUGUCAUCCCGAUGACCGUGUGCCACCUCCUUCUUGGACGGCCAUUCAAUUUGACCGAGGUGUCAUCCACAACGGACACACAAACCACUAGCUUCAAGAUGAAAGGAAGGGAGUUUGUGCUACGACCGAUGUCUCCAAGCCAAGUGCUCGCUGACAAGCAAGCUACCCAUCGUGGAGAAAAUAGUGAGAGAGCGAACCACCAAAAAGAGAGUGAGCGCCACAAGCCAAAAUUCAGUGCCUCCACAAUGAGUGACAAGACAAACUUAGUCCUAUUUGCCACCAAACGUGAGAUGAGAGAAGUGUGUGAGAACCCAUCAAGUGUCCUACAUAUGUCCUAUUGUGCAAGGACGAGGCACCAAAAACUAACACCUCUCACAAUUUACCUUUGGUGUUCUCUUCUUUAUUGCAAGAAUUUCAAGAUGUUUUCCCCGAUGAGCUACCUCCAGGUCUACCUCCACUACGAGGCAUCGAGCACCGCAUCGACCUCAUCCCCGGAGCGCCACAUCCAAACAAGGCUCCCUACCGAGUCAACCCCGAAGAAACCAAAGAAAUACAAAGGCAAGUAA